AUUCAUUUGAAAAGACCUGGAUGCUCGGAAGGAUUGAAGGGAACUGAAGAAAUGGAGGAAUUUCUAUAAAACUUCACCAGAGAAAUAAUGAGACGUAGAAACCUGCCAAAUCUGGACAACAUGAAGCAAACGUUCAGCAAUACCCAUAAGGACUCUUCUCACUCCCUCCUCCAUCUUCUUCUCAAAAUACUAGGAAGAUGCUGAUGCCAAAGUUAGCAGGCUAAGUCUGCCUUGAAGAGCUUGGCAAACAGUGACUCCUGCGGCUUGUGGAGAGAAGCCUUCCUUGGUGUGCCCCGUUCCUGCCAGUCUCGUUCCACGAAGUACUGCAGGGACACCUGUGCGUCUUGACAGUGAGGUUUUAAGUUUAAGAAAUCCACAGUCAUCGCUUUGACACUU
Odocoileus virginianus texanus is the source of this 396-nucleotide non-coding RNA. Lineage: Eukaryota; Metazoa; Chordata; Mammalia; Artiodactyla; Cervidae. The record is from RefSeq and is a predicted model, not a curated record.